RNAcentral lists this transfer RNA (16 nucleotides) under Lophozia koreana. RNAcentral's name for it is "Tritomaria koreana partial tRNA-Phe". Lineage: Eukaryota; Viridiplantae; Streptophyta; Jungermanniopsida; Jungermanniales; Lophoziaceae. The record is from RNAcentral.
CCGGGAUAGCUCAGUU